Eutrema salsugineum is the source of this 168-nucleotide small nucleolar RNA. It matches the Rfam family "small nucleolar RNA snoR143". The record is from Rfam. NCBI's taxonomy places the organism in Eukaryota, Viridiplantae, Streptophyta, Magnoliopsida, Brassicales, Brassicaceae.
UUGCACUCUGCUUUCGAAGGCUAUGUCAAUCAAGUGACAUAGUCUUUUAGCAAUAAGUGCAUAAAGGGAAAGCUGUUAAAUCAGCAAGCGGCCAGACAACCGUUGGGAUAGAUCCACAGGUGAAGCAGAUUUUUCUCUGCCCUCAGCUACUAAAUCUAUCUUACAAAU